AUGUAUAAUAAAAAAGUAUGUUCAGAAUAUUCGUACUAUCCAUUGAGUGAAACAUAUUUUGAAGACUGUAUAAACGAUGUAAUGAUAAAAAAAAAAAAUAAAAACAUGAGAGGUGGUUCCUUAUUUUAUAAGCCGAAUAAUGAGUAUUGUGAAUUGAAUAAAGCUUUGAUAUUACCUAAUGUUAAAAUAGAAUGUGCUAAAAGAGGUUAUAAUAGUGGUAGUAGUAGUAGUAGUAGUAUUAGUGGUAGUGAUAGUGGUAGUGAUAGUAGUAGUGGUCGUGAUAGUGGUCGUGAUAGUGGUCGUGAUAGUGGUAGUGUUAGCGGUAGUAUUCGUGGUAUUAAUAACUACUCUAGUAGUUACAACAUUAAUAACAUGAAAAGAAAACGUAUAGGUACUAAAAAAAAAAGUAAUAAAAACGAUCGACAUAAACAUAAGUAUAAAAUUUGUGAGCAUGAAAAUAUUUUGAAAAACAAAGAAGAAAAUGAUAAGCUAAAAAAAGGGUGGUAUAGAAGCAUUUACAAUAACAGUUUAGAUGUUUUUUCUGAAAUGUCAAAUAAAUAUAAUGAAAAAGAUGAGUUUAUAAAAAGACAACUAAGGAAAGUAAACGAUAACGCAUAUUAUUAUUACAAUUAUAUGUCAAACAAAAAUAACAAUAAAUUUAAAAAUAAAUAUUUAUAUAAGUUGAAUGAUAGGAGUAGUUAUAGUGGCAGUAGUUAUGGAGAUUGUAGUGAUAGCAGUAUCAACCUUCACGAAACAUAUAGUGGUAAAAAACAAAGUAAUGCCAUUUAUAAAUUAUUAAAUAAAGCUUUUGAAUUUUAUGACAAUGAUAAUACGAAAGUAUCAAAUAUGUAUAUGCAAAAUGUAAAUAGUGGUCACAAUAAAUGUAUUGAUGUAAAAAAUAAUUAUUGUACGUAUUCUUAUUAUUACACAUAUAUGAACAAACAUAAUAAUAUAUAUAUGUAUGAUUAUAAUAUAAAAUCAAAUAAUAAAUUAAUGAUUAAUGAUAAUAUGUAUAACAUAAGUAUGUAUCAUUUAAAUAAAAAACUUAAUAAUUCAUGCUUUAUAGAAAAACCAAAUGAAUUACAAAAAAAAAUUUAG
This 1098-nucleotide long non-coding RNA is filed under the name Piliocolobus tephrosceles (Ugandan red Colobus). Its description in RNAcentral is "lncRNA (ENSPTEG00000020025.1)". Lineage: Eukaryota; Metazoa; Chordata; Mammalia; Primates; Cercopithecidae. The record is from RNAcentral.